UUUUACACUAGCAGGCAAGCCGUUUUGGGGCGGGGGAAGGGAACGCCCCAUCGGGACCCCCAUAUGGAGAUGUAAACAGCAGGGAACCUCGUGUCCGCCGGAGAGGAGGAUGCGAGGGAGGGACAGGUACCGAGGGAGGGACAGGUGCCGGUAGGAAGUGAGGCUUAAGACCAAACCAUGAGGGCUGGGCCCCACGCUUACGUAUGGGAAGCAGUGUCUUGAAGCUUGAAGGGACAUGACCACAUCUGUAUUUUAGGGUACAACCUCUGAGGAAAAAGUGUCUCCUGGGUUGGCGGUGGAAGAGAUUGGAGCCUGGGGAGACCGGCUGGAGGGCCUGGGACAGUCCAGAGUGGGAUGAUGAGGGUGGGGCAGGCUCAGAGAGAAGCAGAAAGGAGAUGUGACAGCAGGCAGGAACGCAAGAGUGGCUGGGAACCGUUCGUUCCCCAGGUGUGCAACUGUGGACAUUGCCUGGCCAGUUCUGGAGACUGGACGUCCAAGAUCACGGAGCCAGCAGGACUGGAUUCCUCUGAGGGCUGUGAGGGAAGGACCUGCUCCUGGGCUGGCAGAUGGCCGUCUUCUCCCGCCGUCUUCAUGUGACCCUCCUUCUGUGUGUCUGUGUCCAGAUGUCCUCUUCUUAUGGGGACAACCCUCACAGAGUAUUCUAUUUCAUCUGUGUGGUACAACUGAAAAGGAACAGCUCGUGGGGUAUGUGGCAUUACUCAACCUGAGUUCAUCACAUGAGCACCUAUAGUAGUCAGACCUGCUCAGCAGAAGAGCCAAGGCCCUAGUCCCAAUAAAAUGCAUUCUUAAA
Microcebus murinus (gray mouse lemur) is the source of this 811-nucleotide non-coding RNA. NCBI's taxonomy places the organism in Eukaryota, Metazoa, Chordata, Mammalia, Primates, Cheirogaleidae. The record is from RefSeq and is a predicted model, not a curated record.